UGGGGAAUAUUGGACAAUGGGCGAAAGCCUGAUCCAGCCAUGCCGCGUGUGUGAAGAAGGUCUUCGGAUUGUAAAGCACUUUAAGUUGGGAGGAAGGGCAGUAAGCGAAUACCUUGCUGUUUUGACGUUACCGACAGAAUAAGCACCGGCUAACUCUGUGCCAGCAGCCGCGGUAAUACAGAGGGUGCGAGCGUUAAUCGGAUUUACUGGGCGUAAAGCGUGCGUAGGCGGCUAAUUGAGUCGGAUGUGAAAUCCCCGAGCUUAACUUGGGAAUUGCAAUCGAUACUGGUUAGCUAGAGUGUGGGAGAGGAUGGUAGAAUUCCAGGUGUAGCGGUGAAAUGCGUAGAGAUCUGGAGGAAUACCGAUGGCGAAGGCAGCCAUCUGGCCUAACACUGACGCUGAGGUACGAAAGCAUGGGGAGCAAACAGG
This 429-nucleotide ribosomal RNA is filed under the name Pseudomonadota bacterium. Its description in RNAcentral is "Proteobacteria bacterium partial 16S ribosomal RNA". It matches the Rfam family "Bacterial small subunit ribosomal RNA", at positions 355 to 776 of the family's 1533-position model. The record is from RNAcentral. Lineage: Bacteria; Pseudomonadati; Pseudomonadota.